CCUACGGGGGGCAGCAGUGGGGAAUAUUGCGCAAUGGGCGAAAGCCUGACGCAGCGACGCCGCGUGAGGGAUGAAGGUCUUCGGAUCGUAAACCUCUGUCAGCAGGGAAGAACGGUCACUGUGCUAAUCAGCAGUGAAUUGACGGUACCUGCAAAGGAAGCACCGGCUAACUCCGUGCCAGCAGCUGCGGUAAUACGGAGGGUGCGAGCGUUAAUCGGAAUUACUGGGCGUAAAGGGCGCGUAGGCGGUAUGUCAAGUCAAGGGUGAAAUCCCCGGGCUCAACGUCGGAACUGCCGUUGAAACUGGCAAACUGGAGUGGGUGAGAGGAUAGUGGAAUGCCAGGUGUAGGAGUGAAAUGCGUAGAUAUCGGGAGGAACAUCAGUGGCGAAGGCGACUAUCUGGCACAUAACUGACGCUGAGGAGCGAAAGCGUGGGUAGCAAACAGGAUUAGAUACCCGAGUAGUC
RNAcentral lists this ribosomal RNA (465 nucleotides) under uncultured bacterium. Its description in RNAcentral is "partial 16S ribosomal RNA". It matches the Rfam family "Bacterial small subunit ribosomal RNA", at positions 338 to 795 of the family's 1533-position model. The record is from RNAcentral.